AUGCUUAGGAAUCUGCCUAUUAGUGGGGGACAACAUCUCGAAAGGGAUGCUAAUACCGCAUACGUCCUACGGGAGAAAGCAGGGGAUCUUCGGACCUUGCGCUAAUAGAUGAGCCUAAGUCGGAUUAGCUAGUUGGUGGGGUAAAGGCCUACCAAGGCGACGAUCUGUAGCGGGUCUGAGAGGAUGAUCCGCCACACUGGGACUGAGACACGGCCCAGACUCCUACGGGAGGCAGCAGUGGGGAAUAUUGGACAAUGGGGGGAACCCUGAUCCAGCCAUGCCGCGUGUGUGAAGAAGGCCUUAUGGUUGUAAAGCACUUUAAGCGAGGAGGAGGCUACUUUAGUUAAUACCUAGAGAUAGUGGACGUUACUCGCAGAAUAAGCACCGGCUAACUCUGUGCCAGCAGCCGCGGUAAUACAGAGGGUGCGAGCGUUAAUCGGAUUUACUGGGCGUAAAGCGUGCGUAGGCGGCUUAUUAAGUCGGAUGUGAAAUCCCCGAGCUUAACUUGGGAAUUGCAUUCGAUACUGGUGAGCUAGAGUAUGGGAGAGGAUGGUAGAAUUCCAGGUGUAGCGGUGAAAUGCGUAGAGAUCUGGAGG
This 596-nucleotide ribosomal RNA is filed under the name Acinetobacter baumannii. RNAcentral's name for it is "bacterial SSU rRNA". It matches the Rfam family "Bacterial small subunit ribosomal RNA", at positions 113 to 704 of the family's 1533-position model. The record is from RNAcentral. Lineage: Bacteria; Pseudomonadati; Pseudomonadota; Gammaproteobacteria; Moraxellales; Moraxellaceae.